AUGGCGGGGGCCCUGCUCACCUUGUGCCCGCCCCCGGGGCCGCCCUGUUUGGAGGGAGGACACGGGUGGUCCUCUGGUGGCUGUCCUCCGGGGAGGCGUCACGGGGGCCUCCGUCCCCCCCAGAGGGAGCUGAGAAAUGCUCACUGGUCCCCAUGGGGUUCUAGGGUCAAAGUUGCAGAAAUUAGAGGAGAGACGGGGGGGGGGGGGUGUGGCCAGGCCGCCAGCGUUCUCCGAGAGCAGACCCUCGCGCUCCUGCUCCCUGCGGGGCCCGGGGCAGCCUGGACUUGCCCAGCGGGAUGCCCUGUGCAUCUGGGGCUUCCCCCCGGGGAGGGGACACUUGGCAUCUGCCCAGCGAGGGUACUCGUCACCGGCCCGCCCUCCUGCACCCCUGCGUUUCCAGUGCGCUCAGCCAGGCCGCGGCUGGCGUGGGUGCAGGGACCCCACCCUCGCUCGGUGCUCUGCUGUCGCCGACCUGAAAGUCCCCUCACUGUGGGGCCUGAUCUCAGACGUUCCCUGGGAAGUCCUCGGGGCUGGCGGUCCUUCCAUGAGGAAGAAACACCGUGUAGGUCGGGCCCGGCCGCCUGUGAGGGCCGCACGCAAGGGGGGCUGGUGGCCACGGUGCUCACCUGGGAGCCCAGCCUGAGCCCUCCCCUCCGCGGGGGCUGGAGGGGGCGCACAGUGGGAAGAAAGAAGCCUGGGGAGGCCACCCAGGUGGUGUCGCAUCCGCAUCACCCCUCCCACGGAGAUGUCAUCACACAGGGAAACAGGGACAGCAGGGUCCCUGCGGUGCAUGUCCUUACUGGGCCGGGGGCUGGGACGGCACCCCGAUGCCGGCUGCUUCCCACCCUGUUCCCACACGCGGCCCCUCGGGAGGGGUCCCCUCGGGUCGUGGUGGGACACCUGUGUGCAGGGGCCUCUGGGCGGCGGUCCAGGAACCCUCUCCCCCACAGAAUCGUGGGACAACGCUCAGGCUGCAGAGGCGAGGCCGCCUGCUGCUUCUUGAGGUCCCGUUACCCGGGAAGAUUCCUCUAG
This 1032-nucleotide long non-coding RNA is filed under the name Canis lupus familiaris (dog). RNAcentral describes it as "lncRNA (ENSCAFG00040014843.1)". Lineage: Eukaryota; Metazoa; Chordata; Mammalia; Carnivora; Canidae. The record is from RNAcentral.